AUUGAACGCUGGCGGCAUGCCUAACACAUGCAAGUCGAACGGCAGCAUGACCGAGCUUGCUCGGUUGAUGGCGAGUGGCGGACGGGUGAGGAAAGCAUCGGAAUCUGCCCAGUCGUGGGGGAUAACGUAGGGAAACUUACGCUAAUACCGCAUACGACCCGAGGGUGAAAGCGGGGGACCGAAAGGCCUCGCGCGACUGGAUGAGCCGAUGCCGGAUUAGCUUGUUGGUGGGGUAACGGCCCACCAAGGCGACGAUCUGUAGCUGGUCUGAGAGGAUGAUCAGCCACACUGGGACUGAGACACGGCCCAGACUCCUACGGGAGGCAGCAGUGGGGAAUAUUGGACAAUGGGGGCAACCCUGAUCCAGCAAUGCCGCGUGUGUGAAGAAGGCCUCGGUGUAAGCACUUUAUCGGUACGAACGACGACGGCGUAUACCGUCGGACGUGACGGUACCGACGGAAGUAAG
Molecule: ribosomal RNA, 466 nt
Filed under: uncultured bacterium
Lineage: Bacteria
Description: bacterial SSU rRNA
Rfam family: Bacterial small subunit ribosomal RNA
Source: RNAcentral